Molecule: long non-coding RNA, 1639 nt
Filed under: Marmota monax (woodchuck)
Lineage: Eukaryota; Metazoa; Chordata; Mammalia; Rodentia; Sciuridae
Source: RNAcentral
CAAUGUCUUCCAUGAGGAAUAAACUGUAUUUGGUCUUGCUCUAUCAAGUGAAAGCUAGAACAAAGCAGGAUGAACCUUUCUGUACAAUGCCUUUCCAAGAAAAAGGUGGAUCUGUAGUGCACACUUGCCUCCAAAAUAUUUUCUGCUCUGGUUGUACUCUGAACACGAAGGUAUGCUUAGUUGUAGCUUGAUGUUAGCAUGUCCAGGUCCUAGGGUAGGUAUUAAAUCCAGUUAUUGCUAUUCAAAAGGAACUCCAAGUGUGAGCACAUUUUGAAAAAGGACUAUUAGCAAUGCAAAUGCCAAGUUAUACUUGAUAGUAAGCAAAAUGUUAAGCCUGUUUAUGUGAUAUUUAAGAUGAGAAAAUGCCUUUGCCUAUUUUUGAGUUUGAAUAGCCGUGGAACUGUUUGAUUCUAUUUGACACUCUAUCCUCACACUAGCUUUUGUAUAGCUUGUAAUUAUUCUUAGUAUUUGGACAGUCAAUAGUAAGUACUCUCUUGUAGUAGUGUUGCUUCAGAAAGUUUUCCUAACAAUUAGCUAUCUGUAGACUGGCUUUCUCACUAGAUUUAAGUCUAAUUUUCAAAAAUUGUAGUAUUGUAAUGUUCAUUCACUGUUUUUAGUACUUUAAAAUCUUGACAAACCUUAGGGUUUUUUGAGUUAUUACACCAGGGUGAUCCACCAUCUGAGUCAUUUCUGUGUGUCAAGUCAGGAGAUGGAGUGGAGGUACAGGAAAUGCUGAUCCAGCUAGAAUUGUCUGGCAUAUAACAGGUACUCAAGAAACAUUUGUUUAUUGGAAAAAUGUUGACUAGAGCCAAGGGAGAUUGUAUUCCUGUGCACUGACCAUUAAACUGAUUUCAGAGAUGACUUUUGCUCUUUGGUUUUUGUGCCAGCAAUUACCAACCUCUAGUCAAGAAUUGUUAUUGCAAACAUAAACUCAUUCAUGUGUUUGCAAACACUGUUCCUUAUAGUAUGUAAUAGACAUAUUUGUAGAAGGAAUCAUUCUAGGAUUUACUUUUAAGGAAUAAUAUUGUAAGACUCUUUUAAAGUUUAAAUCAUCUCUCAAUUUUUUUUUUCAUGUAUGGCCAUAUUGAAUUUACUUCAGGCAGGGUACAUCUGUCCUGGAUAAUGAGUUCAGAGUAACUAACAUGAUGCAUGUCAUGGUUUCAUCUGAAAGUAUGAAGAAAGGACCAUACACACCUCAGUGGUAAGCAGUUGUCUAUACAGCAGCACCCCUCGCUUAACUGUGGUUUCCCUGUCUGGUUUCAGUUAUCCACAGCCCAAAAAAUAUUAAAUGGAGAAUUCUAGAAACAAACAUUUCAUAUAUUUUGAAAAGCUUUCAUUAUAGUGUACAAUACUUUUCAUUAUAGUAUAUAAUUAUAUUUUUAUAAUUAUUCUGUUUUGUUUUCAAUAUUGUGUGUAAUUCAUAACGUUAAACUUUCUCAUAGAUAGGUAUAUAGAGGGAAAAAACAGCACAUAUAGAGUUUGGUGUUAUCUGUGGUGUCUGGCAUCCACUGGGGAUUUUGGAAUGUUUCCCCUACAGAUAAUGGGGGACUUAUUUUUUUUUUUGGGGGGUGUCUAGUCUGUAAUGUGAUUUCUUUGAUGUAGAAAACAUACAGGAUAUCAACUUUGUGAUAACCUUGAG